This 253-nucleotide ribosomal RNA is filed under the name uncultured bacterium. RNAcentral describes it as "partial 16S ribosomal RNA". It matches the Rfam family "Bacterial small subunit ribosomal RNA", at positions 524 to 776 of the family's 1533-position model. The record is from RNAcentral.
GACGUAGGGGGCCAGCGUUGCUCGGAAUUACUGGGUGUAAAGUGUUCGUAGGCGGUGUGGCAAGUCGGGAGUGAAAUCUCUGGGCUCAACCCAGAGUCUGCUUCCGAAACUGCUGUGCUUGAGUGUGGGAGAGGCGCGUGGAAUUGCAGGUGUAGCGGUGAAAUGCGUAGAUAUCUGCAGGAACACCCGUGGCGAAAGCGGCGCGCUGGACCACUACUGACGCUGAGGAACGAAAGCUAGGGGAGCAAACAGG